UACGGAGGGUGCAAGCGUUGUUCGGAAUUACUGGGCGUAAAGCGCGUGUAGGCGGCCGAUUAAGUCUGGUGUGAAAGCCCGGGGCUCACCCCCGGAAGUGCGCUGGAAACUGGUCGGCUAGAGUAUGGGAGAGGAAAGUGGAAUUCCUGGUGUAGCGGUGAAAUGCGCAGAUAUCAGGAAGAACACCCGUGGCGAAGGCGGUUCUCUGGGACGGUACUGACGCUGAGACGCGAAAGCGUGGGGAGCGAACAGG
Molecule: ribosomal RNA, 253 nt
Filed under: uncultured bacterium
Lineage: Bacteria
Description: partial 16S ribosomal RNA
Rfam family: Bacterial small subunit ribosomal RNA
Source: RNAcentral